Molecule: long non-coding RNA, 5124 nt
Organism: Bombus terrestris (buff-tailed bumblebee)
Lineage: Eukaryota; Metazoa; Arthropoda; Insecta; Hymenoptera; Apidae
Exons: 3
Source: RefSeq, a predicted model, not a curated record
UAAUUCUGAAUGAGAAUUGAUUGUAAACUACUUCCAAAUAAAAAAGAAAAAAAAAUAAGAAAAAUUCAACAUUCGCAGAUAUUAAGUUUUUAAACCCACACAAAAGAAGAAUAAAAGUUCUUUCAGUUGUCUAAAACUUGUCUUUCAGAGUCUAAAUAAAAACCGUAAGAGAACGUCCGUGUGGAGAACCAUGCAUCAGAGUUUAAUUAUUACGAACCUGUUGGUAUGGCGGCGACACAAGGAUAUCCGCAGAUUGAGUCGCUCCUUCGGGAUGACAAUCUCCCUGUCGAGCUGCCAUUCAGCUACUCGUCGGUGGUCUUUGAGGACCUAUCACGGAGACUGCUUCGUCAUUGUCACCGGAAGUAGCGUGUUCCCGUCAGAAGCGGCUGAAAAUCUCGAUAAAAUCAACCUACUCUACCGUUCUCAUUGAUCAUUGCAUUAAGCUUUGUUUUAUUGCGCGAUUAACACUAACUAUCAAAAUAGUAAAAAUAAUCAAUUUAUAAUUUUUCAUAGAAAUUUUGUAAAUCCACGAUAAUGUAUUUUGGGGUUUGAAUAAUUCUUUAUAAAAUACACUUGCUUAUGAAAGUAUUUGAACACUUAUCAUAGAAAACUUUUGAUCACCAUAAAGAGUAAAUAUCAAGGUAAAUUCUGAAAAAUAGUAUUUGUAGCAUCAGUUUUCUCAAUUUCCCAAUUUAUGCAAUUGAUCAGUAGAUAAAUUAUCGAAAUAUCGAAUGCGUUUAUUCUGGAAAUAUUGAGUCACGAGUAUCCUGAAACAUAAAAAUACAAGGCGUAUCAAUGACUUUAUCGAUUCUAUCAAUUUUGCUAAUCGCAGCACGAAAUUUCGUCUUCGUAUUCCAUGAUCAAAUGUUGAAUACGUUUAUUCUGGAAAUAUUGGGUCACGAAUGACCUAAAACAUAAAAAUACGAAGUCAUAUCGAUCGCUUUAUGUCUCUUGCUAUUCUUAUAUCAAAGAAAAAGGGCAUUCCACUAAUAAAAACCGUUGUCCAAGUAAGAGAAGCAAGAAGAUAUUUACAGCAAUGACGUGGCCACUCAAGAGGAGAUCGCUAAAUCAGAAAAACGGAAGGACGAGGUCAGUAAGGUGAGAGUAAACAAGAUAAACGUUAAUGCCAAAGAACGCUAGUUAUUUUCAUUUUCACUGACUCAGACGGAAACGAUUUGCUCCGUAACGAAGUUAACACAUUGUCUAUUGGUAAUGCGGCAAUUACUGGAUUUAAUAUGCACAGUUAUACAAUCGUAAACGUUGACAAUGCGAACGUACGUGGAAGAUAUCUGAAUGAAGAUAUGUGGUUUCAAUGAAAUUCAAAACACAACGUUAUCCUAUAUAUAAUGCAAUAUCAUAUAAUACAACGUAAUACAAUAAUUCUAUAUAAUAUAAACGACGUAAAAUAUGUGACACAAAAGGUAGUAAAAUGACAAGAAAUUUGGAAUGAAAAAUUUAGAAAAUAAUUAUUUCUUUGUCGUCGUUGAAAAACAUCUUACCUAACGCAAUAAAAGAAUAAUUCAUAAAUAAUUCAUUUUACGAACUGUGAAAAGGUACGUUGCCUUACGGAAUGUUAAACGAAGUCCCCGUGAAACGUAGAGAGAUCAAAGGUUUCUCAAACGUGUAUCGCCAAGAUAAUUUCAAAAUUACGAUAUUAUAUUACACGGUGGUAAACACACACUGUACGACUAAAUAGAAAAUCAACGCGUUGGCAAUCUCGACGGGAGAUCUUGGAAGCUUGAGGUAAAAUCGAAAAGUAGAAACAAACGACGGAGAGAGGUGAGAAGAGAAGACGUUGGCGAGGAAUGAAAGCAGAGUGAGGAACCACGAAAGACAAGUAUCAGGAAGAGAGGCCGGGUUUUGCAGCGUAGCAGCAACGGGAAGAGGCGAACAAGGAAGCCGUGGGGAGGUCGUAAGAAGGCAUAACGAGGAAGAAAGAAUUGAACAAGAACGGUAGGUGCAUAAAUGAAAAGCAAUGCGAUGCAUCGCAGUGCGCGUAUGCCCGACGAGUUAUACAUAUCUGGAUCCGCGCGUUUAAUUGCUUACAAUGGACCACCCGUUCGAUGCACACCGCUUACUCGGUUGAUAUGGAUCAUUUAUUAAUAAAUGUACAGUAGUCUUGGACAUUUAAAUAUUUUAUAAUAUAAAUAAGUAGAAUUCAGUAUUUUACUUUCUGUAAUGUUUCUAGUGGAACUUGGAAUUACAAAUAUCCUGUUACUUGAAGUGUACUCCACAUAUUGAUUCUUUCAGGAAUAAUUGUACACCAUUUUUAUAUCACUUUUAUAUCAUAGCAGUUGUACGGUGAUAAGAACUGAACAGUAAAUAUAAAUAUUGUAAAGAUAGAUAGUAAGAAAAAGAGCAAACCUGUCUUAAGUAGGUAAGCUUCAUAAAAUUGUAAAAGAAGAUAGAGGGGGAAGUAGUAACAAGAAAAUAUUCAGCAGAUUCUUGAAAUUCUUUCCCAUAACAAGAAUGUUCAAAAAUACAGAAUUUAACAUAGCUGUUUUCCGUUUAUGACAUAGUACGUUAGGUAGCAUUACGUUCGUUAUCAUCUGUUUCUGAUUAUUGGUGCUGUAACUGUUUAAGCAGGCAACAGAUUACAGGAAAUGAACUUGCACUACUUCCAAAAUAAUUGAUUAUGCAAUGUCAUUUAUUAACGAAACCUCAAUUGAUUAAAACAAACGAAUAUUUUAAGUUUACAUUAAAAACUUUUUAUAUUAAUAAAUUCUAUAAAUGAAAGUUUAUGAAUAAUUUAUAAAUAAAUUUAUAAAUAAAAAGUUCACGUUAAAGUGUACGUAAAUUCUUCGUUUUCUCAAUUUUUUUUACAAAAUGGAUUUGCCACUGAAAAUAUAUGGUCGAAUUAAGAUAAAAUUUUAUACAGUCCAGAAAAUACUAACCAUUUACACAUAUAAAAGCCACAUAAAACGGUGGAAUGUAUUUGUAGAAAAUCACUUUGUUCCAUUUAUUUAUUGACGUAAGUCGUAACAAAUUUCGUGUUUAAAUAUUUAAUAUUGCCAUUAUAUCACACGUUUAAAAUUGCGAUGUGAAUUGAAAAUCUCGCUUUUACAAUGACGCUUUUACCCUUUUCAAACGCUCAGGACAUUCUUCCAAAAGAAAUUCACCACCAAAUUGCAGCAUUUUACGGUAAUAAAGUUAGAGAUGAAUCAUUGAUCAGACGAUGAGUGCACGAAUUCAAUGAACAAACUGUAUGUGAUCGUAAAUGUUCUCGCCGCCUCUCUCUCAUUACAGAGGAGCUGAAGAACGUGCCUGCGACUUCAUUGCAAAUGAUGGAAACGUCAAACGAGUCAGAUUACCAUUUUCUUUUUUUUGCAAAACUUAAAUAGUUUUCUGGUCGAUAAUCGUUUCAGAAGAAACGAUGAUUUAAAGGACUGCGUAAGACGAUGGUUAUGCGAACUGGCAGUGGAAAUGUAUGAAUGAAGGUAUAUGCAAAAUUCAUAUAACGUUAGGACAAGUAUUGGAAUGGGGCUGGUGGUUGUAUUAAAAAAUAACUUAAUAUAUAUACUAUUUAUUUCAGAACUAUUUAUUUCAGGUGAUAUUGAUCCAGAUCAAAUUUAAACUUGGAAAACCACACUGUGAGUUUAGCUAAAUUGCGCUAAAAUUGAUAUAAAUUUCUCAAGGAAGUUGCAAAAUUAAAAAAAAGUUCUGAAUGAUAUAUCCCAUUAAACAACGUUAGCAAUAUUCAGGCUUACAAAUAGGCGAUUAAUUUCACUAAUUAAAACAGCAACAGCAAACUGUCUAAGAGAAAAUAGAGCAAAUAUCGCUGUUGCAUAUUCGUGUGCCUAUGGAAAUAUUUGCAAAAAGAAAUUAAUUUUUACUAUUAUGCCAUCAACUUGAUGAAAUGUAAAGCCUAACAUCGUUUACGUUCAUCCAGUUAAGUCCUCGUUCAAUGAAUCGAUUGAUUAUUACCUCGCUAUUUCCUUUCGCGAGGGAAUUCAGGGAUUUCGUUGCUUUAUUUUCACCGCGAUCUCGCGUAACAAGUUUCUUCUUCUGGAGAAGCUUCAAUUUUCUACAAAAGGAACAGUUAUUUCGUUGAUUUGCACAGUUCAUAAUCAACAGCGUUAACUGUCACUUACGAUAAUGAUAGUCGCCAAUGACUCACAACCUUCGAUUAAGCAAAUGUUACAACUUAGCAAACAUACGACUAAUUAUGUAAUUGCAAGCCGCGUUUAUCUUCUGGCAUUCGCUGGUUACUAGGAUUAAAAAGCUCCUUUCUCGGCUCGUAUACGUUGCGUGCUUCGAGGAACUUGUAUUCUACGCCUUGGUACUUGUUUUAAUUUUCUGCACGGAAAAAGAACAAGUCGUUAAGGAAGCGGAUUAUUCUCAGAAAGAUUUACAGUCUUCGAUUAUCGAAUUACAUAAAAUAUUUAUCAUUCUCAACUUUUUCAGUUUUUAGUCAGAUUGUCAGGUGUGAGGAAACUUUAUAUGGCAUAGCAAAGUUUAUUAAUUACCAGUAUCUAAUUUGUGUUUAUUUCCUUUAUCUCUAUUGCUACUCAUUAUAAACAUUACGUACUUAACUUAUGCAAAUAUCUUGAAUUUUUGUUUUCUAAUCGAGUAACGAUUAUGGUCGAGAAUGAAUUCAUAAAGAAUGUGAGCAGGUUCUAAUCAUUCUGAAUGAUAUCCAAGUUGGAUUAAUUGCCUAGCUAUGAAAGUAUACCAAAGUAUAUGUCGGAGAUGAAAGGACAUCGGUGCCUUUCUUUUGGAAUGUUUGGGAAGGUCCCCAAUGCUUUAGUCCAGACUUUUUAUUAUAACUGUACUUAAAUACUAAAACUGAGAAAUAGUUGUUUAUAAUCUAAUCCGAGUAUGCGUGCCCAAGAUUUAUGACAUGAAUGUAGUCACGGUCACAAGAGGGACAUGUAUCUAACAGAAAUAUGGAUUAAUUGUAUAGCUCUCCUUAAAAACAAAAAUAUAUGGUAUAUAAGGGCAGUCCCACUUGCACUGAGAUUCAGUCAGAUAAGUUCUACUUGUACUGUAGACAAGUACGUUGAGACACACCCGAAUCGUGGAUCAGUAAGUUGAGUUCGACUUAGACUGUAGCAGAAAUCGCAUUCGUCAUCUCGUUGACCGUGGAUUCGUUAUUGUUGAGAUUAUUAGAUGUAUAAAGAGAGA